ACUCUGAAGUGUGUAUGACAUAAAACAGGCCACGGCUGCUGUAACCAGCUCAGCAAGAUGAAGAUGCUGCGGCACAAAUCGCCAAAGUCACGUUGAUUCCCUUUUGAUUGUGUGCAGUUGUUCUUUACUGGUGGGGUAAAAGGGUCUCUGUGGGUCCUAAAGAAACCCCACGAGCGCUGCCGUCACCCGGGGCAGAAACAGCGCAGGGGUCCCUGAUAUCUCCCGUCCCGGGCCGGGUCUGAGGAGUGCGUUCGAACCCCCCGACCCCACGUUUCCACCCGCUCUCAGCAGGAGGUUCAGAGGAGAGUCUGGAUUCACAGAGAACAAAAGCGGAAUUAGUGGCUCUUUUGUUUUUGUGGUCUCGUGUCUGUCUGGCGUGAGCUCCUUGGGCGAUCGGCAGACAUCGAUUCCUGCUGUUUUUGUUGGUUUAUAUGCGAGGAACGUGCUGUUGUUCUCGUUGACUGAUGUCUGGAGGAUAUGAGACUCUCUCGAGACGGUUCAAGGGGAGAAUAGUUUUGAUAUUCAUUUUUCCUGCUUGCUUUACAUUUAGUUGCCCUGUAGCAAACAUCUCUUAAUGAGAUAAACAGGUCACUGCUGGCACUUUGGGUGAAUCUCACCAAACCUGUCGAGGACACGUCCGGUGCGGUGAAUCUCAUCGUCUGAGGCUCACAGUGCUGUAAAUCAGACUGAUCUGACUGAGGCUCUUCCUCUAUACUCAUGGAGUAACAGUGUCCAGACUGAGCAGUAAAGCUCCUGAUAAAGAUACGUGUGUGUGUGUAUACGUCUGUGUGAGAUCUCAAGACUGAUACACUGAUGAGGAGAGCAUGUUGAAAUGCAUCAGGUCUGCAGUCGACACACUUCCCUGGGAAACAUCCGUGUUAUCAGAUGAGGCUGAUGGGCGGCAGUCUAGGGUUACUUGAAAAUAAUCCCGUCCUUACUUCAGGAGCGGCACAUGAUCAGGUCGGGAACGCUGGGAAAGAGAGCAAUGCUUACAGAGGCUCUGCUUAUUGAGUGCUUAAAGCAUGUCGUGUCUGGUUUCCUCUUUGUGUCGCUGUGUUUGUUUUAUAACCUGCAGGACCCUGGACAAGAACCCUGAACAUCCGUAAGACCUGGAUGCUAUGUUUCACAGUUCAUUAUUUCAGAACAUUUACUCUUUUAUUGUUUUAUAUAUUGAUUCAUGGAGUAAAUAAUCCAUAUAUAUAU
Long non-coding RNA from Cyprinus carpio carpio, 1203 nucleotides. The record is from Ensembl. Lineage: Eukaryota; Metazoa; Chordata; Actinopteri; Cypriniformes; Cyprinidae.